AGUACAAGGUCUCCCUUAGCCUAAUCUAGGCUUAAUACUCUAUUAUAGCAUGAAAUCCCUUAUUUUCCACCCGGAUGAACAGUAACCCGGACUGACAAUGGGUUACUUCAUCCCGAUUUUGAUCCACUUUCAGGACUCCAAAUUUGAUGAAAUUUUUACCUAACAUUCUACACUCAUAGAGGAUUCCAGAAUAGUAAUAUGCAUCACUAUCGGAAGCCGUUUGACCCCCAAAAUAAUUCGCCGAAGUUGGAACUUCGACAUAGUUUUUCCGUAAUGCCGGAAAAUUUGUCGAAAUCCGAUUGUUCCUCUUUUAACCACCUCUACAACCCUUAUCUGACCCCUCUAGACUACAUCCACCCUUUGUAUAACCUAAUAUCAUCAAAAGACUAGAUAGGGAUGGAUAUUUACCUUUUUUUUUUGGAAAUCGAGGUCCUUGCAUAGAGGAGAAGGAGAUCUACACUUUUUCCUUCAGCUGGAAGUGCAAUCGAGAUCCCCUUCCUCCUCGAAUCCCCUUCCUCUUCUUCUUUUUCUUCUUCUUCUUCUCUUUUUCUCUCUCUGUGUCGUCUGAGAACCCUCCCCAUUUCCUCUCUGUUUCACUCCCGUGAGCCAGCUCAAACCCUCCAAUUAAAUCACAUCAAGAUACUAUUCACUCUUUCUUUAAUAUUAUUAAAUUUCCAUUUUGCCCCUAACACUUCAGCAUAUCUACUGUUAUGCCUUUAACUUUUGAUUCUUUUCCAAUUUUACCCUUACCACUUCAACGUAUCUACAACUAUGCCAUUAUCUUUUGAUUCCUUCCAAUUUUACCCCU
Molecule: long non-coding RNA, 808 nt
Filed under: Phoenix dactylifera (date palm)
Lineage: Eukaryota; Viridiplantae; Streptophyta; Magnoliopsida; Arecales; Arecaceae
Description: long non-coding RNA (PDAC_LNC017465)
Source: RNAcentral